Molecule: unclassified non-coding RNA, 237 nt
Filed under: uncultured bacterium
Lineage: Bacteria
Description: contains 16S-23S intergenic spacer region
Source: RNAcentral
AGCCCAAACAGUGAAUCGUUUCCGACCCCUCCGUUGUAAGAGUCCUCGCUGUUCGUUCCAUUCCAAUAAAUGUCUGAUGUCGGCAUGGUUUCUCAGAUAUGACGGAUAUAUGAUAUAUCAGCUUGGAGAAUGUCAGAGUUUAUCCUGCUUAAUCUGUUUACUGGUCCUCCGAUCGGAGAAAUUCUUCUAUUUGGCGUCCAUCGGGCGAAGUAAGCAUCCAUCUUUGGCGAGUUUGAC